GUUGAUUAGAAAUCAGUUACUUCUUUGAGAUCCUUUCAGGUUUCACAGACAGAGGCCAGUUAGUAGGUCUGAUGCUGAAUCAGGACUCUCAGAGCAUGAAAAUCUUUAGAUUUAGGGCACUUUUUAUGAUUGCAAUAGUUGAUUCAAACAUUGGAAUUAGUUAAAGAAAGAUAAAAUCAUAUCCAAAGAAAAUGAAAUAUAAAAGUAAAAAAAGUGGACAAGAAAAAAUAUUUAGAAGGGCAAACAGUUUUUGAAGAUCCAGAGAGUGAUGAGAAGCAGAUACAUAAUGUUUUAUGCUGUAUGCAUUAAAGCUAAUGGGAGGGGGUGUGGGUAUGCCUAUUCAUAAGAAUAAUGUGGUAAUAGUCCAAUGAAACUUCUGCUUUCUCUGAUACCACAGAUCUGAGAUUUGAGAUCUGAUACCACAAAUGCCUUAAUGUGGCUGGCAUUCAUGAGAAGGUAUGCAACUAUUGUUGAAAUAUGAAGAACUCAGAAUGUCAAGAGAGAAGAGGCAUGGAACAGUUCUGGGAACACAGCACUGAUAAAACUCUUAGGGAUGAAUUUACCUAUACCUGUGUUUCAGCCUUGUGAUCUGGGUUUGGCACGAUGAAAUGCUACUUUCAGAAAGAUGAGUAUGUCAGAAUCCCUGGUGAUUUCUAACGCUUAUGGAACACAUCACAUAGGAGCAAUUUAGAUGACAAAAAAGAGCACUCUUCAGUCUGGAUUUACACUGUGUUCCUAUUCACCGACACAUCAGCAAACAUUAUAAA
RNAcentral lists this long non-coding RNA (767 nucleotides) under Homo sapiens (human). RNAcentral describes it as "HSALNT0093916". Lineage: Eukaryota; Metazoa; Chordata; Mammalia; Primates; Hominidae. The record is from RNAcentral.